Molecule: long non-coding RNA, 5912 nt
Filed under: Brassica napus (rape)
Lineage: Eukaryota; Viridiplantae; Streptophyta; Magnoliopsida; Brassicales; Brassicaceae
Description: long non-coding RNA (BNAP_LNC009886)
Source: RNAcentral
GGGGGGGGAGUGGGUGCGUAUACUCGUAUACUCCUACAUAGGAAAAGAUGCAUUAUUGUAAUCGAGUGUUUUAGAGAUUUCAAAAAUUGUUACUACAAUAUGCGUCGCUCCUUUUUAAGACACUUGCGCUUCAAUUAACGCAAAAGUCUCAGAACACGCUUACAAAAUCUAGAAACAUUAAUACUCUUGUCAGCAGCCUCGUACGGCCCAAAAUCGCAAAACAAUCUCUCUUCAGCACUGAAAAUAUACGUAUAGUCUUCGAAAUAAGUGCGAGACGUCGCCAAGUUAAAAGUCGAGACGAUACGAACAAAUUGUCCGAACGCGACCACAAAAACCUUACACUCCGUUCGUCGAUUGGCCCCGACGAACACAUUAGCCGUCUUAAACAAACGCAACUUGAUCACUCUUUUGAUCUCCGAACGUCCAACACAACGAUGAAAGCGCGCUACAAAAAAAAAUCCGAAAUUUUGGUCUAGCACUUCCAGUUGGCUUAAAAAUUGUCUCUGGAAAGAUGCUCGAUUCAUGCCAUACAAGUCAUAUAAGCCGAGAACCUAUCGCGGACUUUAAAUUGGUACGAAUCAGGUAGAAAUCGCAAAAAGAAAAUCGAAAGCCGGCUAGUCACCGCACAAACCUUAAAACCGAGAGUAAACCUAGGUCUUGCCCUAAACCCAUCGCAUUGGUCUCAGACAUCUCAAGACAUGAUAUCUAAACGAUACGAGAUCCUAAAACAUGUCUCUCCGUUCAUAUCUUGACGUUUCCGAAAGUCCGUAAGAAUAAAUAAUUUUUACGAAAAAACUCACGAACAAACUAACAGAUUGAACGCCUCAACGAAGUUAAAUAUGAGAAGACAACUCAUGUUUACUUCAAACCCACUCGAAACAAAGUAACUCAAACAAACAUCCAUUAUAUAGAUCGCAUAGCGGUAGGGGUUCAAAGCCACCAACGGCCAGUCCCGAUAAAAAUAAAAACGGCCAAAAAAGGCCCAUACAAAGUUCGAAGGCCACACUCGGUCGGACAUAUAUGAACAAAGGCCACACUUGGCCGCAAAAUACUAGAUAAGGGAAAAAAAUUUUCCCGUCAAACACUCACAGAUCAAAGUUAAAAUUCUCGGACAACGAAGCUCCGAAUGCAUCCGCAGGAUAGUUCACUUCCUCAUCGUCACCGGCAAAAUCAGUCGUGGUUUCUACGGUAUCAGGAGAAACCGGGAUGGGAUCCCAGAAUCUUCCCAUCGAUCGUAGAAAUGAGCGUCUCAGCGUGAGCAUGAUCCUUCAUGCCACCCUUCAUUAACUCCAUCUCCCUCUCAAAAACGUAGUCAUCCGCCCGCGUCUUCCAAAGGCUCCCGACUGAGCCGCGACACUCACGGAAGUCGCCCGGCGAGUUGAAAGCAUACUUGAGGUUCCCCUACUCAACCUGGAAUUGAGAGGCGCGAGUCUUCAUCACCUCGACAAUUUCCCUCUUGCCCUUCCGUUCCGCCCUACGAUCAGCCCUGGCAUGAUCACGAGCGAGUUGAGCAUCUCGCGCCACCAUCUCGUCUUGCAUGCGAGCAAGAUCCUUUUCCGCCUUCUCCGCUUUAAAGCGAUAGAUCAUGGCCUCUCUAUGGCUCGCCUCAAUGGCCGAUCCAAGCAAGUUCAAGCCCUGUAAAACCGAUUGACACGUUAUAAGGAAAAAAAAAAGUAAUAAUAAUAAUCGUCAAAAUUAUUAAAGCUUAUACCCCGUUGAUGAUACGAGAUCCUUCCGCGACGACUUUCGGCCUCCCCGACUCGUUCGUAGCCGGAGGAGCAUGAAGCCCGACGGAAGACCAACGAAGAAAUAAUCAAAGUCCAGAAUAGGGACCUCGCUCGUAUCGCUUCCAUCGCCGAAAGCAAGGUCCGGAUCCCAUCCUGGAAGCAUGCAAUCGUCCACCGAAAACUCCAGGUCAAAGAGGUCAAUAUCUUUCCCCUUCGAAAAAUUCAGCCCCGUCGCAAUCGUGGGAGCAGCGUCGGGACCUUGGUCAUCAGGCUCGGAAUCACUCCUUGUUUCUCCGCCCAAAGCUGGACUAGGAUGCACAAACCUCAGCGCCUUUCGAACUGUCUUCGGCGUAAAGGAAGUCCAGAAAAAAGGACUGUUCCUGAGCAGAUCCCUCACCGCAAUAAUGUCCUCAGGAAACGGAGCAAGAGGAUUGAUGAAGGGACGAUCGUUCGGCAACCUCCAGAACAAUGGGAUACAACUCUCCUCAACGGACGCGGCGUCUACACGAACGAAGAAGAAAAACUUCUUCCACGAGUUGAAGUUAGAAGUACACCCCUUAACCACCGACAUGAAGUUCCAAGGAACCAGCCUGUACGUGACCGUAUCCUUGAUGAUCUGUAACCGAAGAAGCGCUUCGAAGUGAUCGACGGUAAGGGUGAGACCAUGCUCGUAGCUCAGGAUCAGGACUCUAAUGAGGUGCUGGAUGCCAAGAGGAUUCAGUUGGCUUAUCGCCACCCCGAAACGAUCCAACACACAGACGAUAAUUUCGGGAAUCGGGAACCACAAACGACAGCGCACUACGAAUGCUUCGUAACAAGUAAAGUAACCCUCCGGGGGACUACUAGCACACUCUCCUUGACGAGGAACCCUGAACUCCACCGCAUCCGAAAUAUGGUAGAACGACCGCAUGACCUCGAGGAAUUCGCUAGUACUCCUACUUGGUGCACCUUCCUCCACCGGGCGACGGUUCAUGACCGGGAAUGAUUUCUCUUUGGGAGGCGUGAUCGAACCAUAAAAAGCCACCCACCAUGCCUCGUUCUCGGCCGGGUCUACCGAAUGAGGAACGAAUUCCAUCUUUGGCACACAGAGCUCUUCAGAAACGUUCGCGGGCAAGGACCCUUUCUUCGAACUCCUCUUCUUACUCGACAUCUCGUGUUUUUCUUUUUUUUUAUCAAGAAGGAAAUGAUAGAGAGAAAGAGAAAGAAAAAAGAAUUUUUCAAGAAACCUCUCUAUGAGAAUGAGUAAGUGUAAAGAUUGUGAAGAAAUUACCUCCCUUCUUAUAGGCAUGAGAAAUUAUUAUUUACUUGCGGAUUUUUGGACACGUACUUCGCCCAAAUACACCAAUCUCGUCCGAACUCGCCAUACCGCACGUUGGGAUCUCACUAGAAAUCCACGAUCCUAACGAGCUGGGGGGGCUAACUGUUGGGGUCGAAAACGGAUGCGACGAAUUUAACGUCCAAAUCCCCGCAAAAUACAAGUAUGUCUUUUCGCAACAAAUCAUGUUCGGUCAAGAGAACGUCACAACGUAUGUUCUCGAGAUAAAGCUUCGUUCGAAUUUUAUUUAGAUCAAGCAUAAGCCAUCGGAAACAUGCCCAUACCGGUAAUGGAUACGACGAAGUUCACGAUCAAAACGUCCGAAGAAGAAAACGAAAAACCUUCUUCGACAAAUACUUUUUCGAGAUAGAUUCUUCCUUACGAAAAGCUUUGCGGAGGAAACACAAGACAUCGGACAAGAGCUCGAAAAGGGUCGCUACGCAGCUAAAUCUAAACUUAAAACAUCAAUUCUAAACCCUAAAUCAUCAACUCUAAACCCCAAACCAUGAAACACGAAUCUAAAUCCUAAACCCCGAAACAUCAACUCUAAACCCUAAACCCUAAACCUUCAAAUCUAAACCAUAAAACGUCAACUCUAAACACUAAACGUAAACCCUAAACCCUAAAACCCUUAACCUUCAAAUCUAAACCCUAAAACAUCAACUCUAAACCCUAAAUGUAAACCCUAAACCCUAAAACCUUAAACCUUCAAAUCUAAACCCUAAAACAUCAACUCUAGGGUUUUAGGGUUUAUGAUUUAGGGUUUAGAGUUGAAGGUUUAGGGUUUAGGGUUUAGAGUUUAUGUUUCGGGGUUUAGGGUUAAUUUUUUAGGGUUUAGGGUUUAGUGUUGAUAGUUUAGGGUUUAGUGUUGAUGGUUUAGGGUUUAGAGUUGAAGUUUAGGGUUUUGAGUUUAGAGUUGAUGUUUUAGGGUUUAGAGUUGAAGGUUUAGGAUUUAGGGUUUAGAGUUGAUGUUUCGGGGUUUAGGGUUUAGAGUUGAUGUUUCAUGGUUUAGGGUUCGCAUUUCAAAAAAAAAAGGGUUUAGGAUUGAUGGUUUAGGGUUUAGGGUUCGUAUUUCAAAAAAAAAAAGGUUUUGGAUUGAUGGUUUAGGGUUUAGAGUUGAGUUUUAGGGUUUAGGGUUUGAAUUUCGAAAUUGUAUAAUUCGUAAACAAAUUAAAAAAAAAUUAUUUUUUAUUUAUUUAGAUAUUUAUUUAUUAUAUCAACUCUAAUAAUCGAUACGACAUUAGUCCAUGCAUUCUCGUCUACCCUUCGAUGCUAUCUCCCGAAGACCGUAGCGAACCCAUUUCACGUUCCCCGCCAUUCUAAGUUAUCGAUCAAACUUUACCGUAAAAACCGCGGAAAGUUCGUUCUUUAUCGAAAGAAGCCGUAAUAAACGCUUCGAGUCAGAAGACGGCCCAAAGGGACCUAAGACAUGACUCGAGGCUCAACUUACGAUUUCUUAACCAACAGCCCGUAAGCCGCAUGUCGGUUUACGCUUGGUUCGCAAGGAAAGAUAAAAGUCAAGUUUCCGUGGAUAAAUACGAAAUUUGAAGAUAAUUACGAAGAUCUUAAAAAAUGGAAUAUCUCCAUUUUUAUGCUAUGGCGGCUUUAGGGCAGAAGAGGAAAAGCGUAAACCGACCUAGGAGCCAGUAUAUAAGGAAUCCUAGGCGAGAGGCAUGGAGGAGGACUUUUCUCAGAGCAAACUUAGCACUUAGAGCAAUUAGGCAUAUUUUCGUUUUUGUUAUUCGAGCUGCGACUCAACUAGGUUGCCGUCUUAGGGUUUUAGAACUAGGAAUUUCGCUGACAGCUCUCGUAGCCCAGACUCUUACCUUGUUGUAACGCUCAAACGCGAAUUCGGAAUAAGAUCUACUUUGCUCUCUUUUCGAUUUCAUAUCAUUUAUCGUUGUUAUUCUAGUGUUCUGAUUGUUUAUCUCUUCCAAUUGUCACUUUAUUUUUUGUUAUUCUAUAAUAUAGUGUUCUUAAAAACAUAUUUUAUCUUGGAGAGCUUUAUACAACAUAUAUUUGGCACUCUAUUUUCAUUACAUAAUAUUUCAAUAUUUUAUUCACCUAUCCUUUUCUAUCUGUUCUUAAUUUAAUUUUUUUUUUUAAAGUUAGACUAUGGAGGAAGCUCACUUUUUAAUUUUCUUAGAUCAACAUUCUCUAUAGGAAAUUUCUAAAUAAAUGUUUUAGAAUAAUUGUUUGAAUAUGAAUUACUUACAUAGGGUUGAGAUUGGAAGGCAUCCAUUAAUUUAAACAGUUACAUUGGAUGACUUCAAGAGAUGUAGUAAUCAAAUGGUGGAGACGAGACUGUGUGACGAAAUGAAACAGAGCCUCCCCGGUCACCGCCAUGGUUGUGGAGCCGAUUCAAAUUCAUCAAUCAUGUAAGCUCAUUCAGAAAAAAGUUUCGAGUUUUUUUUAUAUGGGUUUUAGUUUUUUUUUAAGAAACCUUGUCCACAAUACCUUGAAGAGACAUUUCACUUGAUUAACAACUUAACGAAGAUGAAGAUAUGAUUUUAUGGCUUACUAUUAAUACAUCUUAUACACAGAUGGAGAUUGAGGAAUCUCAGUUUUGAUUGUUUCAUUUGUUGUUUUGAAGAAGAGAGUAGAAAGCAUUGGGAAGACAAUUUUGCUCCCUUGACUGUGAAGAAAAGAAGGAGAAAACGAUUACCUAUAGUUCCAUCAGAAGAUCCUGAUCAGAGGCUUGCACAAAUAGGCACACAUGCAUCUUCUUUAAUAGCUUUGGGUAUCAAAUACAGUGACGACUUAACUUAGGUACAUGUCCAUUGCAAAAGCAUGUCCACAAUUUUAGGUUUUCUGUCCAUCUAUUCUCUAUUUUCUAUGUCCAUGUCCACACAAUUUUUUUUUACAAAAUC